UUGAAAGGGAAACGAUUGAAGUCAGUCGUACCAGCGGGAAAUCAACCUUUCGAGGUCUUGCAGUUUUGAAGUGUGUCAAAACCUUUGAGAUUUUAAAAUUUUCGCUCUUUUGGUGUACUUUCUCGUGGGUAGGUUAACAUCGAUUUUGAUCAUCAUAAAAAGACUGGAGGAAUGUAGCUUCGAUCUUGUAUUGAAGUGUUAUAGCCUUUGGUAAAUGUGAUGAUUAGGAUCGAGGAUUGCAACGAAUACCCUUCUGGGCUAUCCGCCUGAUCUCUGAUACGUGGCCUUGGCAUCGAAAGCUUGCUUAUGGUAUCAAGGUAUUACGGUCAAAAGGUUAGAACGGAUUACAUUCGUUAAGGAUGUUGACGUA
Molecule: ribosomal RNA, 370 nt
Filed under: uncultured Glomeromycotina
Lineage: Eukaryota; Fungi; Glomeromycota
Description: LSU rRNA
Source: RNAcentral